Molecule: ribosomal RNA, 439 nt
Filed under: uncultured bacterium
Lineage: Bacteria
Description: partial 16S ribosomal RNA
Rfam family: Bacterial small subunit ribosomal RNA
Source: RNAcentral
CCUACGGGAGGCAGCAGUAAGGAAUCUUGCGCAAUGGGCGAAAGCCUGAUCUAGCAACGCCGCGUGGACGAUGAAGGCCUUCGGGUCGUAAAGUCCUUUUCUGUGGGAAGAUCGUGACGGUACCACAGGAAUAAGCAUCGGCUAACUACGUGCCAGCAGCCGCGGUAAUACGUAGGAUGCAAGCGUUGUCCGGAUUUAUUGGGCGUAAAGAGUGCGUAGGCGGCUUCUUAAGUGGGGCGUGAAAUCCCCCGGCUUAACCGGGGAGGGUCGUCCUAAACUGGGGGGCUUGAGGGUAGAAGAAGAGAGCGGAAUUCCCGGUGUAGUGGUGAAAUGCGUAGAUAUCGGGAGGAAGGCCGGUGGCGAAGGCGGCCCUCUGGUGCUUGACUGACGCUGAGGCGCUAAAGCGGGGGGAGCAAACAGGAUUAGAUCCCCGGGUAGU